Molecule: long non-coding RNA, 1042 nt
Filed under: Homo sapiens (human)
Lineage: Eukaryota; Metazoa; Chordata; Mammalia; Primates; Hominidae
Description: non-protein coding lnc-RDX-1:5
Source: RNAcentral
AGUAUUUGUAGGAGGCCACCAGAGAGACAGGAUUGCAAGGUUUUAAAUAUGCUAGUGUCAUGAGGUCAUGGAUUUCCUACCUGAAACAGAUAGUGUGACUGCCCUGCUAUAGCCAUGUUUGGCCAGUGUAGGAAUUUUGAGAACAGUGAACACUUAAUACUCAGAUGGCAUUUUGCCACCCCGACAAGGACCAUACCUGCCAUUCCAUUGUAGUUCGCCUUGCCCAGAAGUUUUAAAAUUUUUCUUUCAGCCUGGGAUUUCAAGUGUACUACAGCAUCCUCUUCACCUAUACAAGCGUCUGUUGUUUUAAAAGGAAACUGAGAUGGAGUCUCCCUAUGCUACCUAGGCUGGUCUCCAACUCCUGCACUCAAGUGUUCCUCUUGCCUCAGCCUCCCGUAAGUUAUAAAUUAGUUCAUGUGGGCUGCUCCUCAUAACCCUGCUCAAACACUACUGAGGCAUCAGGAUCUUCAAGAUUCAUAUGAGGAAACUGAAGCGAAAGAAUGUUGACUAAUUUUGUCAAGGUCACACAACUGGUAUAAAAUAAGUUCAACACUGGCAACCAUCUGAUAACCACAGAGAAAUGAGACUGAGGAUAAAACUAAUCUAAAGAGGAUACCAACGAAGCUGUAACCCUCCAGUUACAUAAACCAGUGUCCUGAGGGAGAAGCUGGUGCCCUUUAUCACACAGCUAACAACGCUCCUGGCCCAUGGAUCAGAGAAGUUGAAGGAAAAUACAGAGGAAGUUCUAACAGUGGCAGACCUAAUUACUGCACCAUGCCAAGCAGGUAAUCCAGCAGGUAAAAUAUUUUCCCAGGGGUUCAAGCUGAGUUUUGACCCAAGUUAUUGUCCUAGAAUCUGUGGGGGAAGUACAAGUAAACCUUAAAGAAGACAAAUAACACCUUAUGAGGUGUUUGCCUUAGGGUGCCAUUCUGACAGAUAUUGACUAACAGUUCAUUGAACGUGUGGAUACUGCCUCCAUAAGCAGUGGCUAUGUCUUCAGUAGGCUGUAUCACUUGAGCACCAGCAGCCAGAAGCCUCAAAG